UACGGGGGGGGCAAGCGUUGCUCGGAAUCACUGGGCGUAAAGCGCACGUAGGCGGAUCUUUAAGUCAGGGGUGAAAUCCUGGAGCUCAACUCCAGAACUGCCUUUGAUACUGGGGAUCUCGAGUCCGGAAGAGGUGAGUGGAACUCCGAGUGUAGAGGUGAAAAUUCGUAGAUAUUCGGAAGAACACCAGUGGCGAAGGCGGCUCACUGGUCCGGUACUGACGCUGAGGUGCGAAAAGCGUGGGGAGCAACAGGG
Molecule: ribosomal RNA, 255 nt
Filed under: uncultured bacterium
Lineage: Bacteria
Description: partial 16S ribosomal RNA
Rfam family: Bacterial small subunit ribosomal RNA
Source: RNAcentral